AGAUGUUUACAGCAAUGCUGAGUGUUUUCAUUUCAUUCAGUCAUAUCCCUGUUGUCCAUUUCACAGGAAACUGGGUUGCAGACAACUGAUCUAACUUGUCCAAUAUCACAUAGCUAGCAAUUGGUGAGGCAGGAUGCUUGCAAAAUCAUACUCCUCACCAUUAUGCCAUCUUACCUCUUAAAAGGCUUGUAUUCUCUGUUGAGGGAGGUGAAGAUGAGGAAGAGGGAAAUAGAAAUCUCUACUUUAAUUUGAAGGUAAUUGAACAAAUAAAGUUAAACUUCAUGAGUUAUCACAAAGAUGGAAGUUGUGCACUAGUAUCUCAAUGACUGUGUUUCCUGGAAAGAUGACUUUUGUGGAACAGGAUUAAAUUCUUCACAGGCUAAAAUUGGUUACAUGCAAGAUAGUCUUCACAGCAUCCUACGCAUAAACAAGUAAA
This 436-nucleotide long non-coding RNA is filed under the name Rhinopithecus bieti (black snub-nosed monkey). Its description in RNAcentral is "lncRNA (ENSRBIG00000045527.1)". The record is from RNAcentral. Lineage: Eukaryota; Metazoa; Chordata; Mammalia; Primates; Cercopithecidae.